GACGAACGCUGGCGGCGUGCUUAACACAUGCAAGUCGAACGAAGAGCGAUGGAAGCUUGCUUCCAUCAAUCUUAGUGGCGAACGGGUGAGUAACGCGUAAUCAACCUGCCCUUCAGAGGGGGACAACAGUUGGAAACGACUGCUAAUACCGCAUACGAUCUAAUCUCGGCAUCGAGGAUAGAUGAAAGGUGGCCUCUACAUGUAAGCUAUCACUGAAGGAGGGGAUUGCGUCUGAUUAGCGAGUUGGAGGGGUAACGGCCCACCAAGGCGAUGAUCAGUAGCCGGUCUGAGAGGAUGAACGGCCACAUUGGGACUGAGACACGGCCCAGACUCCUACGGGAGGCAGCAGUGGGGAAUCUUCCGCAAUGGACGAAAGUCUGACGGAGCAACGCCGCGUGAGUGAUGACGGCCUUCGGGUUGUAAAGCUCUGUUAAUCGGGACGGAAGGCCUUCUUGCGAAUAGUGAGAAGGAUUGACGGUACCGGAAUAGAAAGCCACGGCUAACUACGUG
RNAcentral lists this ribosomal RNA (510 nucleotides) under uncultured bacterium. RNAcentral's name for it is "partial 16S ribosomal RNA". It matches the Rfam family "Bacterial small subunit ribosomal RNA", at positions 28 to 507 of the family's 1533-position model. The record is from RNAcentral.